Molecule: non-coding RNA, 46 nt
Organism: Trichobilharzia regenti
Lineage: Eukaryota; Metazoa; Platyhelminthes; Trematoda; Strigeidida; Schistosomatidae
Source: Rfam
GUACUGCUGAGAGGUCCCAAACUAGGACGAAACAGCUGUCCAGUAC